CGGACGGGUGAGUAACGCGUGGGUAACCUGCCUCACACUGGGGGAUAACAGUUAGAAAUAGCUGCUAAUACCGCAUAAGCGCACGGUUCCGCAUGGAACAGUGUGAAAAACUCCGGUGGUGUGAGAUGGACCCGCGCCUGAUUAGCCAGUUGGCGGGGUGACGGCCCACCAAAGCGACGAUCAGUAGCCGGCCUGAGAGGGUGAACGGCCACAUUGGGACUGAGACACGGCCCAA
RNAcentral lists this ribosomal RNA (235 nucleotides) under uncultured bacterium. Its description in RNAcentral is "partial 16S ribosomal RNA". It matches the Rfam family "Bacterial small subunit ribosomal RNA", at positions 99 to 334 of the family's 1533-position model. The record is from RNAcentral.